This 274-nucleotide ribosomal RNA is filed under the name uncultured bacterium. Its description in RNAcentral is "partial 16S ribosomal RNA". It matches the Rfam family "Bacterial small subunit ribosomal RNA", at positions 523 to 796 of the family's 1533-position model. The record is from RNAcentral.
AUACGGAGGGUGCAAGCGUUGUUCGGAUUUAUUGGGCGUAAAGCGAGUGUAGGCGGUUUGACAAGUCGAAUGUGAAAUCCCGAGGCCCAACCUCGGAACUGCAUCCGAAACUGUCAGGCUAGAGUCCCGGAGAGGGUGGCGGAAUUCCCGGUGUAGCGGUGAAAUGCGUAGAUAUCGGGAAGAACACCUGUGGCGAAGGCGGCCACCUGGACGGUGACUGACGCUCAGACUCGAAAGCGUGGGGAGCAAACAGGAUUAGAUACCCGAGUAGUCC